UGAAAGGGCUGGGCUUGCUCAGGAGUUGGCUUAAAGCCCGUGGAGAUGGAUUUGUUGUGCAUCCCCCCUCCUGCCCAAGGAGCUGGGGCUUUUCCAAGCUGUGUUCCCUGCUGGGCAGUUCUUGGGAUCUGGCUGCAAAGGGAGAUGAUUUCUCUUUCCUCUUGGAUGUCACAGCCACUUCUAAGGGGUAAAUUAGCAGAUCACCAGAUUUCUGGAGUAACCCUCCCAGAUUCGCCUGCUGCAAGCUGUGCUUCCACAGAGCGAGCCAAAUCGGGCAGCAGGGGUAUUUAUUUUUCUCCCCAGCUCUCUAUGUAGAUGGCAUCUCUAACUCUUCCAAGGCAAUUUGUGACCCUGCAACCACAGCAGAGCUGUUUGUUUAUUCACAACAGAUGGGGUUGGUGAGUGUUUCCCAAAUUACUUUCUGAGCUGGGAGUUCUUGUUUCGUUUGGUACCCAUGAGACAUCCAACAACAGCUGAUUAGUCACAAAAUGACUCUGAUGUCCCAGGUGCUUUGUGAAUGUUGGAAGGUCUGUUUCCAGAACUGCAAAUCCUCUGUUAUUCAUUAAUUUCUUGUUUGGAAAGCUGUUGGGCAUGUUCCUUGCUGCCUUGCCUUGAGGAAGGAGUUAGUGGGAUAAAUCCUGAUCUGGCUCUGCCUGUUCAACUUCAACAGCCCGAGGUGGGCAGGAGUGAGUGUGACCACUGGAUCCUGGUCUGCUGGCAGAAGAUUUGGAUAGCUUGAGGGUUGGAGCUUUCCCAGCCUCCAAUCCUGGCUGUGACUGUGAAAUACAUGGGCAGGUGACUGUGUCCCAGGCUCAUAAAAUCUCACAGCACGGCCUGGGAGACACAGCCUCACUUGGGAUUCCCGGAUGCUGCUCAAGUACAAAUCACAUCUGUAAAUUAUUCAGCAAAUGCCUCUGGACGGCGAAGGCACGGAAGGAGAAUCAUGUGUUUCACCAGCCAAGCAUGCAGACAGUAAGAUUUCCAUUAGUAUUACUUACAACAGAGAGCAGGGCUGUGUCUAAUGCUGCUGUGCCAGCCAGUGCUGCUCAGCACAGAGAGGAGGCAUUGCCCUGACCUGAUGGUCUCUUUCUGCCUAAAAUCCUUUCCUCAGCAGCAGCAAACCUGGGCUGUAAACCCAAGCAGGAGCUCAGAGUGGACUCCAAAUUCUCCUGAAGGUCAGCACUGCGUUGAGUAUCUGACUCAUGCACCAGGAACACGACACCUGUGGUAUCGUGUUAUCGUGAGAGGCUGCAGCGCUAUCACAGAGAGCCCAUCAGGCCCUGGACUCCCACUGCAUGAAAAUGUUGAGUCUGUCACACCUGGAGGGACCUGAUCUGUGUGUUUGGCUCCUCUGCCUUUCUCAGAGCCAGCCCUGAGCAUCCCUCCCCUGGCAGCAGCAUCUCUGGGACUCAACAAAACUCCUCGUGCAGCUGCAGCCAGGCACUCCUCAGGAGUGAAGGACUGGAAUAAAUUGUGCUCUUUUCCCUUCCUUUCUUUGGGAGUUGUACUUGUUGGCAUGGCUUUGUCUGGCCGUGGAGCUGGGGGUGUGGGAAGGGAGGAGGAGGAGGAGAGACGAGCCUGGCAGAGCCCCAUUUCUCACAGUCACUGACCUGCCGUGCUGGGCACUGGCUUGAAUUUCCCAUGGGUUGUGUUGGCUGCUACCUCGUGAAGCUGGACACAGCAAACUGUGCCAAAGAAUCACAUCAGGCUGAUAUCCAACACCAGCUGAAGGAGGGGAAAGAUCAUGUGUUUCCCAGGCAGCCAAGAGACCAUCCUUGCCCCAAAAACACGAGGCACAGGGCUUGGUUUGUCCAUUUAUGCACGUCUUCAGUGUGGUGGUCCCCACCUGAGCCUGUCCUGAGCACCUGGCUCCAAUUAUGCACCCUGAGCUCCAUGAGGUGACUCCUUCCGGUGCCGUUUUAAGAAGGUAUCUGAGUCAACCUGGCCCCACAAAGCAACCAGCAUGGAAUUGGUCCGUAACAUCAGCUGAUCCUGGUUUUCCCAGGCAUUUUGGGGGCCUCCCUGUCCCUUGGA
Long non-coding RNA from Hirundo rustica (Barn swallow), 2034 nucleotides. RefSeq lists it as uncharacterized. The record is from RefSeq and is a predicted model, not a curated record. The transcript is spliced from 3 exons. NCBI's taxonomy places the organism in Eukaryota, Metazoa, Chordata, Aves, Passeriformes, Hirundinidae.